UCCCUGGUGGCUUAGAUGGUAAAGAAUCUGCCUGCAAUGCGGGAGACCUAGGUUCAAUUCCUGGGUCGGGAA
RNAcentral lists this transfer RNA (72 nucleotides) under Bos taurus (domestic cattle). It matches the Rfam family "tRNA". From Rfam's summary of the family: Transfer RNA (tRNA) molecules are approximately 80 nucleotides in length. Their secondary structure includes four short double-helical elements and three loops (D, anti-codon, and T loops). The record is from Rfam by way of RNAcentral. RNAcentral also lists the same sequence under 2 other names. Lineage: Eukaryota; Metazoa; Chordata; Mammalia; Artiodactyla; Bovidae.